CGACGCAAUCUGCUUAUGUGGCU
Molecule: small nuclear RNA, 23 nt
Filed under: Arabidopsis thaliana (thale cress)
Lineage: Eukaryota; Viridiplantae; Streptophyta; Magnoliopsida; Brassicales; Brassicaceae
Description: snRNA_02426
Source: RNAcentral